RNAcentral lists this unclassified non-coding RNA (337 nucleotides) under soil metagenome. RNAcentral's name for it is "partial contains 5.8S ribosomal RNA, internal transcribed spacer 2, and large subunit ribosomal RNA". The stretch from base 1 to 120 matches the Rfam family "5.8S ribosomal RNA", at positions 35 to 154 of the family's 154-position model. The record is from RNAcentral.
GAUGAAGAACGUAGCGAAAUGCGAUAAGUAGUGUGAAUUGCAGAAUUCAGUGAAUCAUCGAAUCUUUGAACGCACAUUGCGCCCCUUGGUAUUCCAUGGGGCAUGCCUGUUCGAGCGUCAUUUGUACCUUCAAGCUCUGCUUGGUGUUGGGUGUUUGUCUCGCCUCUGCGUGUAGACUCGCCUCAAAACAAUUGGCAGCCGGCGUAUUGAUUUCGGAGCGCAGUACAUCUCGCGCUUUGCACUCAUAACGACGACGUCCAAAAGUACAUUUUUACACUCUUGACCUCGGAUCAGGUAGGGAUACCCGCUGAACUUAAGCAUAUCAAUAAGCUGAGGA